GAGAAACUUUCCACUUUUCCAAUGAAAGCAUAAUAACGUUGACAAACUUUCAAAAAAUUGGCAUAGAUGUCGUAAAUUGCAAUUAAAAAAAAUGAAAUGACAUAAGCAAUGAGGUGCUGGAGCUAUCUCUAAAAUUGUAAGGUUUUAGCAUUACCUUAAAGCAGCAUCACCAAACUGUUUAGCAUGUGAAUCUUUCCCAAACAAAGGGUCAAAGGAUGCAAAUAUAUUUCCUGCUUCUCUAUGGGCGUCAACCAUUCAACUCUUGGAACCAUUGUCACGACUUGAGAUAUCUUUAAAUAUAGAUCCAAAGCCCACAAAUUUUCUGCUCAUGUAAGGCUCUGAAAAAGAGUUACAUUCAUGGCUUAUCAUCUAGAAUGUAAACUUACAGAUUCUAAAUCAGGAAUUUCAACUGUAGUUGCCCCAUAUAGUCUGACAAGAAUUGUUGACGCAUAAACAACAGUAUUAUCUGCCGUACACUGGUUCACUACAAACUCAUUAAGAUAUACAAUCAGAUGAUAAUUGUUCCUUCUCAUAAUGCAUCGCGGGCAGCUAUUCGGCAUGUAAUGGCAUCUGCAAGAGUGGAUAUCCCUGCUUCCAGACCAGAAAUUUUGUAGUGCUUUUGUAUUUGAGCUUGGUUUGCUCUUCCCUCCAAUUCUUCCAAAUCGAUUUCUUUUCCAUUGAUGAGUUUCUCUACAGCUUUCAUCUCAUCUAAAGAAGCAUUGAAACGAGCUGCAAGGAUGUAUGUAGAGGUUUCAGAGAUUCCACAUCUUUUCAAAGAUUCUGUAAUAUGUUUGGAUCCUGAGUAAUUAUAAACAAGUUCAGAAUGAAGGGUCCUUGUCGUCAAUGAAUCCCGAGACUUUGCUAUAAGCGUCUUAUGUGCUGCAGCAAGAACGGGGAACACAUCUGGGAUCUAUCACACAGUAGUUAAUAGAAGCACAUUAGAAAGACUUUUAAAAAGUUUGAUCCACAAGGCGGAUAGAACGUUGAUGGGAACAAGAAAUGAGGUCCACUAAUGUCUGUGCGUAAGCAAGCAUACAAGUGAGGCAUUGAGUAGAGCAACUUCAGGUUCUAGUGUUCCAGCCUGCAUGGAAUCCAGCAGUUCCCUGCACAACAGCAAAGCAACUUAGGAGUUUAAGAGUCCACAUGAGGUUCUUCAUUCCCUCACUAAUUUCUUCUUGGAGCACUUUUUAGCAUGUUGGCAGCUUUUAAAUACUAACUAUUGAAAUGCACAUGAAACUGUCUCUAAACCUUAGGCAAAGCUUUAAACCUUGUUCCAUAACACUAAUAACUUUUCUUUUUCUAAAUAUAAUAUAAGUUGUUAUAUUGUAUAAAAAUACCGGAUUUUUUUUGGAAAACAAAAAGGAGAAGGGAGAGAGAGAAACGGAGAGGUUGCCAAAGAAACCACAGAGGAUAUGAAGAUUACACUCAGUUACUACUAAGUAUUGAGGAUGAAAAUGGAAUUUGCCAAAAGGAAUUCACUGAAGGUGAGAGCAACUGUUUUGCACACUCAAAUUUGGGAGCUUUAGUUCUUAAGAUUGAAGAAAGGCUUAAACUUUGGCAUCUAAGAAUCAACUGGUGAACAAUGCCUAACAGUGGUAAUAGUAACUGGGUUCAGCCUAGUGACUAACAAUUUAAAAUGUUAAUUGCCAAAUGUCAAUUAAAGAAAAAUACACAUUAAACUCCAAUUCCAGAAUAUGUUUACAUUUAAACUAGACUAAGUUCAAGUCAUGACUAGCCAGUUUCUUUGCAUAUCAUCCCAACCACUUUGGACAAUAAGAGCACCUAAUGAAGAAUUUCACAUUCAAGCUUCCAAGGGCCAAUACAAUAAAAUGAAUAAAAAACCUCUAGAAAUCAUAACUUUUCCAUUACACCCAAUAUCCAUUUCAAUUAAGUUCCUACGGAAAUUAAAACAGUAAAACUUCAAGAUCUCCAAUUAGAUUAUAUUCUCUGUUUGGCCAGCAACUGUCUACCUUAAGCUAUAUUUACCCCAAGAAUUCUCGUCUGAACUAUCAAAAACUUUUAAUUUAAAACCAAGAAUUUUUCCCAUUAAGGAUUCACACAACUAAACUGAUCGUACAAUAACCAGACAAUUGUGCAAUAAUAUCCAUAUUUGGAAGAAAAAAUGAAAAUAAUAGGCAAAAGAAAGUAGAUAGAGAGAGUUA
Molecule: unclassified non-coding RNA, 2162 nt
Filed under: Hevea brasiliensis (rubber tree)
Lineage: Eukaryota; Viridiplantae; Streptophyta; Magnoliopsida; Malpighiales; Euphorbiaceae
Source: RNAcentral